This 185-nucleotide ribosomal RNA is filed under the name Colletotrichum graminicola M1.001. RNAcentral's name for it is "eukaryotic large subunit ribosomal RNA". It matches the Rfam family "Eukaryotic large subunit ribosomal RNA", at positions 1925 to 2120 of the family's 3401-position model. Lineage: Eukaryota; Fungi; Ascomycota; Sordariomycetes; Glomerellales; Glomerellaceae. The record is from RNAcentral.
GAUCCGUAACUUCGGGAUAAGGAUUGGCUCUAAGGGUUGGGUACGUUGGGCUUUAGGCGGACGGCCCGGGAGCAGGUCGCCACUAGCCGGGCAACCGGCCGGAGGCUUCCAGCAUCUGGGUUCUGACGCCUUUAGCAGGCUUCGGCCGUCCGGCGUACGAUUAACAACCAACUUAGAACUGGUAC